GUCCUGGCCGUAAACGUUGGGCGCUAGGUGUGGGGGUAUCGACCCCCUCCGUGCCGUAGCUAACGCAUUAAGCGCCUCACCUGGGGAGUACGACCGCAAGGUUGAAACUCAAAGGAAUUGACGGGGCCCGCACAAGCGGUGGAGUAUGCGGUUUAAUUCGAGGCAACGCGAAGAACCUUACCCGGGCUUGACAUCACCGAAAGGAUCCAUGGUCUCCAGAAAUGGGGGUCUUAGGAAGACAGGUGUUGCAUGGCUGUCGU
Molecule: ribosomal RNA, 260 nt
Filed under: uncultured bacterium
Lineage: Bacteria
Description: partial 16S ribosomal RNA
Rfam family: Bacterial small subunit ribosomal RNA
Source: RNAcentral